CUUCUGCAACAUGUAAGCACCUGAAAUGUAAGCAAGAAAUAAGAAAUGGGGAAAGGUCACUGUCUCAAAGGGAAAGAGAGCACAUGCAGGACCACCCUGAUCUCCCAUUACUUCCUAUCUAGGGUCCACAUCAAGACAGUGGUGGGAAUUGAACCCAG
Molecule: long non-coding RNA, 158 nt
Filed under: Mus pahari (shrew mouse)
Lineage: Eukaryota; Metazoa; Chordata; Mammalia; Rodentia; Muridae
Description: predicted gene 11192 (MGP_PahariEiJ_G0002573.1)
Source: RNAcentral